Molecule: transfer RNA, 87 nt
Filed under: Streptomyces mirabilis
Lineage: Bacteria; Bacillati; Actinomycetota; Actinomycetes; Kitasatosporales; Streptomycetaceae
Description: tRNA-Glu
Source: RNAcentral
CGCAGGCGCGGGUAGGCUGGCUCAUGUCGGUCUGCUCUCAUCAGGUCGGCCACGCCCCGGGAGCGUUCGCAGCGCUCGCCGGGGUCC